CCUACGGGCGGCUGCAGUGGGGAAUAUUGGACAAUGGGCGAAAGCCUGAUCCAGCCAUGCCGCGUGUGUGAAGAAGGCCUUCGGGUUGUAAAGCACUUUCAGUGGGGAAGAAAGCCUUGGGGCUAAUACCCUCGAGGAAGGACAUCACCCACAGAAGAAGCACCGGCUAACUCCGUGCCAGCAGCCGCGGUAAUACGGAGGGUGCGAGCGUUAAUCGGAAUUACUGGGCGUAAAGCGCGCGUAGGCGGUCUGAUAAGCCGGUUGUGAAAGCCCCGGGCUCAACCUGGGAACGGCAUCCGGAACUGUCAGGCUAGAGUGCAGGAGAGGAAGGUAGAAUUCCCGGUGUAGCGGUGAAAUGCGUAGAGAUCGGGAGGAAUACCAGUGGCGAAGGCGGCCUUCUGGACUGACACUGACGCUGAGGUGCAAAAGCGUGGGUAGCAAACAGGAUUAGAUACCCGGGUAGUC
RNAcentral lists this ribosomal RNA (465 nucleotides) under Vreelandella stevensii. Its description in RNAcentral is "partial 16S ribosomal RNA". It matches the Rfam family "Bacterial small subunit ribosomal RNA", at positions 338 to 795 of the family's 1533-position model. Lineage: Bacteria; Pseudomonadati; Pseudomonadota; Gammaproteobacteria; Oceanospirillales; Halomonadaceae. The record is from RNAcentral.